AGGCCCUCCAUUCCAGGUUUGGGCUGGCUGGCUCUUCCCCACCCUAUGCCUGGGUCUCAACUUUCCUUCCUAUGUGAGCCUGGCCUCUGAUCUCAGGAGGGGAAACUGAGGCUGGCACUUGCUGACACCCAGCCAUCAAGAGCAUCUUUAAGGAAGUAUCUUUUCUUUAUGAGGGGCCUUUCUCCAUCAGUAUCCCCUGCUGGGACUUACAGAUGUGAAUGUAGGGGAUCGUAGAGGUGGGUCUGUGAGAAGGAGGAAGGGAGUAAGUAUGAGUUUUUUGUGUAUGGGGAGCUGUGGCUGAGGGCCUGGCCAAUCUUAGUGCUGGUUCAAACGCAUGUGAGGCUAUCUUCUUGCAUAAACUGGUGGGUGUUUGGCACAUAUAUGUGUUCAUGUCUUAUCUUAGGGGCAUAUACGUACUUACUUGUCUGUGUCCAGAGGGAAGAGCUGUGUAUCAGUAUGUGUGAAUGUGUGUGCACACAUGAUUCCGUGUGCAUGUCACACCCUCUGUAUGCAUGGAGUGCAUUCUUGUCUCGCGGAACUCUGCACACAUAGUAAAUAUUUUGCUGUCGGUUUAUCUUGGCUUCCACAUGUCUCUCUGUCUCAGCUGCCCUUGGUCUGUGGUAUGUGGCUGUGAGCCUUUGCCUCUGCAUCCUGCCUGGAAUGUCACCCCCAGCAUCCUUCCCCACCUUACCCCAAGACUUGAAGACAUAUUAAUCUCAGGCUCAAGGUUCCUACUAAAAGGACUGCCAACCUUCUCACCACUACCCCCAGCCACUCCCCUGGGCCCCUCAGCAGCUCUGGCCCCCCAAGGAGGCCUCUCCCUGGGAAUCUCUGUCAGGGCUCUGCUGCUGCCACCACCAGAAAAACCAGCUCUGGCUCCAGGCCUGGCAACAAUCUCCACCGAGAGCUGGAGUAUGUGGGUGAGUCUGGGGUGAGAAAGGACCUAGGAGGGACGCACCGAAGCUCACCAUCCAGGACAGCCAGACCCAGUGACCCUUCCAACACCCCAGCACCCCACUUCAGCCAGGCCUGGACCAUCACAGAGUCAUCGUAUUUCAGAGCUGGAAGGUCAAUAGAGAUCAUCUGGUCCUAGCUCUCGGUCUACUGAAGUCUGGUUUCAUCGCUGCCCAAGGUUACCAAAUAGAUUAAUAGCAGAAACGGGAUCUGGACCAAGACUCCUGACUUCCCAGUCCAAGGAUUUUUUCAGAGACAUGAAACAUUCCAGGUUCCUGGGAGCCAUUAAGGAGAGUCUACACACAGAAGAGCCAGAAUGGGGGUGGUAGUGGAGGUAGGACCAUCUGAUCCUCAGGCUAGGAGCCUCCAGCCCCCAGAGCAACCUCAGCUCUGUGCAGGUUGUAGCUGCUGCAGCAGCAGCAGAGUGGCCUCCUACCAGGUGCCAGCUUCCUGGGGCAAUCUGGAGCCAGGCUUCCUCCCUUACUGCCAGGCAUUGCAUGAGGUCUAACUAGAAGGGGGUCUCCUGUCCCCUUCCCUGGGCUUCUCUUAGUAAGAACAGUUUUGCCAUCAUGGAAAAGAAAGGCAAGAACCAUGUGAUGCAGUCACCAUUGCAUCUCCAGCAUCUAGUAUCCAGGUUGUACCCAGUGUGCACUCAAAUGUACUAUUCUUCAAUGAACUUAGAGUGAGAACACCAAGACA
This 1653-nucleotide long non-coding RNA is filed under the name Homo sapiens (human). Its description in RNAcentral is "HSALNT0296190". The record is from RNAcentral. Lineage: Eukaryota; Metazoa; Chordata; Mammalia; Primates; Hominidae.